This 1557-nucleotide ribosomal RNA is filed under the name Staphylococcus argenteus. Its description in RNAcentral is "16S ribosomal RNA". It matches the Rfam family "Bacterial small subunit ribosomal RNA". Lineage: Bacteria; Bacillati; Bacillota; Bacilli; Caryophanales; Staphylococcaceae. The record is from RNAcentral.
UUUAUGGAGAGUUUGAUCCUGGCUCAGGAUGAACGCUGGCGGCGUGCCUAAUACAUGCAAGUCGAGCGAACGGACGAGAAGCUUGCUUCUCUGAUGUUAGCGGCGGACGGGUGAGUAACACGUGGAUAACCUACCUAUAAGACUGGGAUAACUUCGGGAAACCGGAGCUAAUACCGGAUAAUAUUUUGAACCGCAUGGUUCAAAAGUGAAAGACGGUCUUGCUGUCACUUAUAGAUGGAUCCGCGCUGCAUUAGCUAGUUGGUAAGGUAACGGCUUACCAAGGCAACGAUGCAUAGCCGACCUGAGAGGGUGAUCGGCCACACUGGAACUGAGACACGGUCCAGACUCCUACGGGAGGCAGCAGUAGGGAAUCUUCCGCAAUGGGCGAAAGCCUGACGGAGCAACGCCGCGUGAGUGAUGAAGGUCUUCGGAUCGUAAAACUCUGUUAUUAGGGAAGAACAUAUGUGUAAGUAACUGUGCACAUCUUGACGGUACCUAAUCAGAAAGCCACGGCUAACUACGUGCCAGCAGCCGCGGUGGUAAUACGUAGGUGGCAAGCGUUAUCCGGAAUUAUUGGGCGUAAAGCGCGCGUAGGCGGUUUUUUAAGUCUGAUGUGAAAGCCCACGGCUCAACCGUGGAGGGUCAUUGGAAACUGGAAAACUUGAGUGCAGAAGAGGAAAGUGGAAUUCCAUGUGUAGCGGUGAAAUGCGCAGAGAUAUGGAGGAACACCAGUGGCGAAGGCGACUUUCUGGUCUGUAACUGACGCUGAUGUGCGAAAGCGUGGGGAUCAAACAGGAUUAGAUACCCUGGUAGUCCACGCCGUAAACGAUGAGUGCUAAGUGUUAGGGGGUUUCCGCCCCUUAGUGCUGCAGCUAACGCAUUAAGCACUCCGCCUGGGGAGUACGACCGCAAGGUUGAAACUCAAAGGAAUUGACGGGGACCCGCACAAGCGGUGGAGCAUGUGGUUUAAUUCGAAGCAACGCGAAGAACCUUACCAAAUCUUGACAUCCUUUGACAACUCUAGAGAUAGAGCCUUCCCCUUCGGGGGACAAAGUGACAGGUGGUGCAUGGUUGUCGUCAGCUCGUGUCGUGAGAUGUUGGGUUAAGUCCCGCAACGAGCGCAACCCUUAAGCUUAGUUGCCAUCAUUAAGUUGGGCACUCUAAGUUGACUGCCGGUGACAAACCGGAGGAAGGUGGGGAUGACGUCAAAUCAUCAUGCCCCUUAUGAUUUGGGCUACACACGUGCUACAAUGGACAAUACAAAGGGCAGCGAAACCGCGAGGUCAAGCAAAUCCCAUAAAGUUGUUCUCAGUUCGGAUUGUAGUCUGCAACUCGACUACAUGAAGCUGGAAUCGCUAGUAAUCGUAGAUCAGCAUGCUACGGUGAAUACGUUCCCGGGUCUUGUACACACCGCCCGUCACACCACGAGAGUUUGUAACACCCGAAGCCGGUGGAGUAACCUUUUAGGAGCUAGCCGUCGAAGGUGGGACAAAUGAUUGGGGUGAAGUCGUAACAAGGUAGCCGUAUCGGAAGGUGCGGCUGGAUCACCUCCUUUCU